UAUGCCGUGGCUCAGUUCAGAUCGUAUGCUGCCACUCUCCUACGUGAUGGAGGAAUCGCUAGUAGUCAUCAGGUCAUCAUACUGCGGUGAAUACGUUCCCGGGCCUUGUAGCUCCGCCCGUCACACCGUGGAAGUUGGCCACUCCCGAAGCCGUUACUCCCACCCUUGUGGAGGAUGACGUCUAAGGUGGGGCUGAUGACUGGGGUGAAGUCUUAACUGGGUAUCCCUACCUGACGGUGCGGAUGGAUCACCUCCUGUCA
RNAcentral lists this ribosomal RNA (260 nucleotides) under uncultured Synechococcus sp. Its description in RNAcentral is "partial 16S ribosomal RNA". It matches the Rfam family "Bacterial small subunit ribosomal RNA", at positions 1277 to 1533 of the family's 1533-position model. The record is from RNAcentral. Lineage: Bacteria; Bacillati; Cyanobacteriota; Cyanophyceae; Synechococcales; Synechococcaceae.